RNAcentral lists this ribosomal RNA (253 nucleotides) under uncultured bacterium. Its description in RNAcentral is "partial 16S ribosomal RNA". It matches the Rfam family "Bacterial small subunit ribosomal RNA", at positions 524 to 776 of the family's 1533-position model. The record is from RNAcentral.
GAAGAAGGGGGCUAGCGUUGUUCGGAAUCACUGGGCGUAAAGCGCACGCAGGCGGAUCGAUAAGUCGGGGGUGAAAGCCCGGGGCUCAACCUCGGAAUUGCCUUCGAUACUGUCGGUCUCGAGUCCGGGAGAGGUGAGUGGAAUUCCUAGUGUAGAGGUGAAAUUCGUAGAUAUUAGGAAGAACGCCAGUGGCGAAGGCGGCUCACUGGCCCGGUACUGACGCUCAGGUGCGAAAGCGUGGGGAGCAAACAGG